UACGUAGGUGGCGAGCGUUGUCCGGAUUUACUGGGCGUACAGGGCGCGCAGGCGGUUCGUUAAGUUCGAGGUGAAAUCUCCUGGCUCAACUGGGAGGGGUCUUCGAAAACUGGCGGGCUUGAGGAGAGCAGAGGUGAGUGGAAUUCUGGGUGUAGUGGUGAAAUGCGUAGAUAUCCAGAGGAACACCAGUGGCGAAGGCGACUCACUGGGCUCCACCUGACGCUGAGGCGCGAAAGCGUGGGGAGCGAACCGG
This 253-nucleotide ribosomal RNA is filed under the name uncultured bacterium. RNAcentral's name for it is "partial 16S ribosomal RNA". It matches the Rfam family "Bacterial small subunit ribosomal RNA", at positions 524 to 776 of the family's 1533-position model. The record is from RNAcentral.